CCCAGACUCCUACGGGAGGCAGCAGUGGGGGAUAUUGCACAAUGGGGGAAACCCUGAUGCAGCGACGCCGCGUGGGUGAAGAAGCGCCUCGGCGCGUAAAGCCCUGUCAGCAGGGAAGAAAAUGACGGUACCUGAAGAAGAAGCCCCGGCUAACUACGUGCCAGCAGCCGCGGUAAUACGUAGGGGGCAAGCGUUAUCCGGAUUUACUGGGUGUAAAGGGAGCGCAGACGGCAGUGCAAGUCUGGAGUGAAAGCCCGUGGCUUAACUACGGGACUGCUCUGGAAACUGUGCAGCUAGAGUGCAGGAGAGGCAGGCGGAAUUCCUAGUGUAGCGGUGAAAUGCGUAGAUAUUAGGAGGAACACCGGUGGCGAAGGCGGCCUGCUGGACUGUAACUGACGUUGAGGCUCGAAAGCGUGGGGAGCAAACAGGAUUAGAUACCCCUGUACG
RNAcentral lists this ribosomal RNA (447 nucleotides) under uncultured bacterium. Its description in RNAcentral is "bacterial SSU rRNA". It matches the Rfam family "Bacterial small subunit ribosomal RNA", at positions 330 to 793 of the family's 1533-position model. The record is from RNAcentral.